This 496-nucleotide ribosomal RNA is filed under the name uncultured bacterium. RNAcentral describes it as "partial 16S ribosomal RNA". It matches the Rfam family "Bacterial small subunit ribosomal RNA", at positions 29 to 507 of the family's 1533-position model. The record is from RNAcentral.
AUGAACGCUGGCGGCGUGCCUCAUACAUGCCAGUCGAGCGAACGGACGAGAAGCUUGCUUCUCUGAUGUUAGCGGCGGACGGGUGAGUAACACGUGGAUAACCUACCUAUAAGACUGGGAUAACUUCGGGAAACCGGAGCUAAUACCGGAUGAUAUUUUGAACCGCAUGGUUCAAAAGUGAAAGACGGUCUUGCUGUCACUUAUAGAUGGAUCCGCGCUGCAUUAGCUAGUUGGUAAGGUAACGGCUUACCAAGGCAACGAUGCAUAGCCGGCCUGAGAGGGUGAUCGGCCACACUGGAACUGAGACACGGUCCAGACUCCUACGGGAGGCAGCAGUAGGGAAUCUUCCGCAAUGGGCGAAAGCCUGACGGAGCAACGCCGCGUGAGUGAUGAAGGUCUUCGGAUCGUAAAACUCUGUUAUUAGGGAAGAACAUAUGUGUAAGUAACUGUGCACAUCUUGACGGUACCUAAUCAGAAAGCCACGGCUAACUACGUG